CUUGGCACUCGAGAACGACUGC
This 22-nucleotide microRNA is filed under the name Heligmosomoides polygyrus. RNAcentral's name for it is "hpo-miR-790-5p". Its record names the gene hpo-miR-790-5p. The record is from miRBase by way of RNAcentral. Lineage: Eukaryota; Metazoa; Nematoda; Chromadorea; Rhabditida; Heligmosomidae.